AUACGCCUGACUAACAUUUUCACGGGACCAAGGCUCCAUGCCCUAGCAGUAACCCAUGCUGUGGACCUGCUAACCCCCAGGCCUGAGGGGAUGUCCACUCAGAAAGGCACAGCCCUUGAAUGGAGCUUGCUGACCUUGGGCCCUGCUGCUGUCCUUUCACUCCCUGUGUGGAGUGUUGGGUAGAUGUGUUUUCAAUGGAAUGAAACUUGGCAUUUAAAUCGAGAGCUCUGUAUAUUUGAUUUGUAAAAACUGCGUGAGACAUAUCUUUAUUUUAGGAUCGAUAAUAAAAGCAAGUCUGUGUGUAAUAAA
Molecule: long non-coding RNA, 309 nt
Filed under: Rattus norvegicus (Norway rat)
Lineage: Eukaryota; Metazoa; Chordata; Mammalia; Rodentia; Muridae
Description: long non-coding RNA NONRATT001749
Source: RNAcentral